Molecule: RNA transcript, 3009 nt
Organism: Pogoniulus pusillus (Red-fronted tinkerbird)
Lineage: Eukaryota; Metazoa; Chordata; Aves; Piciformes; Lybiidae
Gene: AP1S2
Gene name: adaptor related protein complex 1 subunit sigma 2
Exons: 6
Source: RefSeq, a predicted model, not a curated record
GGGGGGGGGUGGCCGUUGAGGCGCGCGCGCGCGAUCACGGCGGUGGCGAUCCGGCGGCAGCAGCUUCCCCUCCCUUCAGUCCCGCUCGGCAGUCGCAGCAGCAGCAGCAGUCUGGAUAGCGGUAUCGCUGCCGUCGCCUCCUCUUCCUCCUCCUCAUCUUCGUUCCUCCCCUCCCGGGGCACGAUGCAGUUUAUGCUGCUGUUCAGUCGCCAGGGGAAGCUGAGGCUCCAGAAGUGGUAUGUCCCAUUAUCUGACAAAGAGAAGAAGAAGAUCACAAGGGAACUUGUGCAGACUGUGCUGGCUCGCAAACCCAAAAUGUGCAGCUUCCUGGAGUGGAGAGACCUGAAGAUCGUCUACAAAAGGUAUGCCAGCCUCUAUUUCUGCUGUGCCAUCGAGGACCAGGACAAUGAGCUGAUAACGCUGGAGAUCAUUCACCGCUACGUAGAGCUCCUGGACAAGUAUUUUGGCAGUGUCUGCGAGCUUGACAUCAUCUUCAAUUUUGAGAAAGCCUAUUUCAUUCUGGACGAGUUCCUCCUAGGAGGAGAAGUGCAGGAGACCUCCAAGAAGAACGUGCUGAAAGCCAUCGAGCAGGCAGACCUCCUGCAGGAGAGCCAGAAUGAAGACUGGGGAGGUUUGUCUGAGGAUAUCUUAUGAUUAAGAGCAAUCUAAGGCCUUAGCCCUUUUGACCCCCAUCUAAGUGAUUGGAAGCAGAGACCCCUCGUAGUGUACUUGAAGAAAUUGGAUUGACAUAAAGCUUGCCCGCAGCUGCUGCCCGCCCAGUGUCCCAUCCUGUCCGUGUCCACUGCCCUCAUUGUCACGUUUAGCUAAUGGUGUCAGAUGCUCUCUGUCUGUCAGUAGUUCCUGUCCUGCUAAGCUGCUCCAUUCAGGCCUACAAGAAAUGCACUGCUCGGGAAAGGGAACCAGAAGCAAAGGCUCAGACCUCAGAAGGAAAAGGGAAUUAGUGUGGGGCUCAGUGUCUGCCCUCCUGGGAGAGCUGUGGCUGCCUCCCAGAGUUUACUCUUUUUAUAAGCAACCCUGACUUCAGGAAAUAAACCUGGCAGAGUGCCCCAGCACAGCUGCCCGGGGGCAGCGCCGCGGACCGCUGCCAGACUGACGCUGUGCAACCAAAGACUUCAUCUCCCUGGUGCCCACCACCUGGCUGAGAGCUCUGCUGGUUCCACUUGCUGCACAAAGAUGGGAAGUUACCUUUUGGCUACUGAAUUGAUCAUUAUACCAAAGAAUCCUGCUGGCACCUGCUGCUCGGCCUGGGGAGUACUGCUAAGGUGGUGAUGCUGCCAGCAAGCUGCAGGCUGGAAAGGAAGCUGGCUGCAGGUGUAGCUGCCUGCAGCCCAGCUCUGCACACGUGCUGUGGGAAGGCAGGCAGGGCAACCAGAAACCAAGAAAGGGAACUGUUUCUAGGGCUGGGAUUAGCUUGGCCAGAGACGAGAAAGGAGGUGCAUAAUGGAGCCCACAGCGGGGUUCUGCAAUCCUGGGCUGCGUGAGGCACCCCUGGGUCUGGGCUUUGUGAGGCACCCCUGGGUCUGGGCUUCACGAGGCACCCCUGGGUCUGGGCUUUGUGAGGCACCCCUGGGUCUGGGCUUCAUGAGGCACCCCUGGGUCUGGACUUCAUGAGGCACCCCUGGGUCUGGGCUUUGUGAGGCACCCCUGGGUCUGGGCUUCAUAAGGCACCCCUGGGUCUGGGCUUUGUGAGGCACCCCUGGGUCUGGGCUUCAUAAGGCACCCCUGGGUCUGGGCUUUGUGAGGCACCCCUGGGUCUGGGCUUUGUGAGGCACCCCUGGGUCUGGGCUUCAUGAGGCACCCCUGGGUCUGGGCUUCACGAGGCACCCCUGGGUCUGGGCUUCAUAAGGCACCCCUGGGUCUGGGCUUUGUGAGGCACCCCUGGGUCUGGGCUUCAUAAGGCACCCCUGGGUCUGGGCUUCAUGAGGCACCCCUGGGUCUGGGCUUUGUGAGGCACCCCUGGGUCUGGGCUUCAUAAGGCACCCCUGGGUCUGGGCUUCAUGAGGCACCCCUGGGUCUGGGCUUCAUAAGGCACACCUCUGGGUCUGGGCUUCAUAAGGCACCCCUGGGUCUGGGCUUCGUGAGGCACCCCUGAGUUUGUGCUGCAGGACACACUGUGGGUUUGGGCUUCAUGAGGCACCUCUGGUUGGUGCUGAGCUUUUCUUGACUUAGAUGUGGCACAUCCCUUCCACACUGCUGCGUGAUGAGAAGCUAACCCAGCUGGCUUGCAGUGAGAGCUGUUAACUGGUAGCCUGUCCAGUGGAGUCACUGCAAGCCAUGUGGGAGUUCAAGCAGAGCUCUGUAGUCACUCUGAGCCCAGCCAGUUUCACUCCAGGAGAUUCAGCUCUACCCUUCACAGCAGCCAAGUUGUGCUGUGUGUCUGCAUGGUCCCUGAGGAGGUGAGACUGUUCCCUCCCUCUCCUCCCUGCUAACUUCACUCCAGGAGUCAAUGUUUUGGCAGUGACACCUUCUCACACCACCUCCCCUGGGUGGUGGUGCUGGAAGCAUUCAGCCAUCUGGAGAGCUGGGCUGAGGUGAGCCUGGUGAGAGCUUGGCUCCAGUUAACCCCCCAGGAAAGGCUCAGUGCGGCCACUUCAGCUCCUGGCAUCUGUGCCUGAGGCAACAGAAGGCCUGGGCAGGGCUGGGCCUGCACACUUCUGUGGUGGUGCCUGAGAGCUCAGAGGGUUGGGAUUCAUCUGCUCCUGGCCCUUCUGGGCUUUCAGCAGGGUGCUAGGAGCUGCUUUGGUCCCAGGGCAUGGGGUGCAGGGCGAGGGGAAGAGGCAGGGGGAGCAGGAUGCCCCCGGGCGCAGUGGCAGUGGUGACCUUAGCUCAAGCCAACCCCAAAGCAGUCUCUGUGCUCCAGGUGUUCCCAAGCUGCCACUGUCACUCCUCUGUGCUUGGCUGGAUUAGGCUUUGUUGUGGUCGUGACCAACUGUUUGAGCUGUGUCUGUCACCUCGGUUUAGCUGUAAUAAAUGUCCAUUUUUACACCA